GCGGCCUUGAUCCAGCCUGGUCAGGAUAGUGGCUUCCCAAGCCAUUCGCCCGGGUUCGAAUCCCGGAGGCCGCACCA
Molecule: transfer RNA, 77 nt
Filed under: Nitrososphaerota archaeon
Lineage: Archaea; Thermoproteati; Nitrososphaerota
Description: tRNA-Gly
Rfam family: tRNA
About the family: Transfer RNA (tRNA) molecules are approximately 80 nucleotides in length. Their secondary structure includes four short double-helical elements and three loops (D, anti-codon, and T loops).
Source: RNAcentral